RNAcentral lists this small RNA (127 nucleotides) under Marmota monax (woodchuck). The record is from RNAcentral. Lineage: Eukaryota; Metazoa; Chordata; Mammalia; Rodentia; Sciuridae.
GCUGGGCGUGGUGGCACACACCUGUAAUCCCAGGGGCUCGGGAGGCUGAGGCAGGAGGAUUACAAGUUUGAGGCCAGCCUCAGUAACUUAAUGAGACCCUAAGCAACUUAGGGAGACCUUGUCUCAA